UACGAGGGGUGCAAGCGUUAUUCGGAAUUAUUGGGCGUACAGGGUGCGUAGACGGUAUGUUAAGUCAACUGUUAAAUUCCCCGGCUUAACCGGGGGCCAGCAGUAGAUACUGAUGUGCUAGAGGAUGGAAGAGAGAAGUGGAAUUCUCGGAGUAGCGGUAAAAUGCGUAGAUCUCGAGAGGAACACCGAUGGCGAAGGCAGCUUCUUGGUCCAUAUCUGACGUUGAGGCACGAAAGCGUGGGGAGCAAACAGG
Molecule: ribosomal RNA, 253 nt
Filed under: uncultured bacterium
Lineage: Bacteria
Description: partial 16S ribosomal RNA
Rfam family: Bacterial small subunit ribosomal RNA
Source: RNAcentral